This 429-nucleotide ribosomal RNA is filed under the name Acidobacteriota bacterium. Its description in RNAcentral is "Acidobacteria bacterium partial 16S ribosomal RNA". It matches the Rfam family "Bacterial small subunit ribosomal RNA", at positions 355 to 776 of the family's 1533-position model. Lineage: Bacteria; Pseudomonadati; Acidobacteriota. The record is from RNAcentral.
UGGGGAAUUUUGGACAAUGGGGGAAACCCUGAUCCAGCCAUCCCGCGUGUGCGAUGAAGGCCUUCGGGUUGUAAAGCACUUUUGGCAGGAAAGAAACGUCAUGGGUUAAUACCCCGUGAAACUGACGGUACCUGCAGAAUAAGCACCGGCUAACUACGUGCCAGCAGCCGCGGUAAUACGUAGGGUGCAAGCGUUAAUCGGAAUUACUGGGCGUAAGGCGUGCGCAGGCGGUUCGGAAAGAAAGAUGUGAAAUCCCAGAGCUCACCUUUGGACCUGCAUUUUUAACUACCGGGCUAGAGUGUGUCAGAGGGAGGUGGAAUUCCGCGUGUAGCAGUGAAAUGCGUCGAUAUGCGGAGGAACACCGAUGGCGAAGGCAGCCUCCUGGGAUAACACUGACGCUCAUGCACGAAAGCGUGGGGAGCAAACAGG